UUUGUGGUCACCCAUUUGCCACAGCAGAUGCCCCCGAUUUUCGGUCUAAAUGGCACACUAUCUCUAAAUGCAGCAUGGGGAAUGUGGAAGGUGGAAGUGCUAACUGAUUACUUAGUUGACGGCAGAAUGUGCCAUGAAUUGGUGCGCUGAGCGGUAGAGCAGAGCUGAAGUGAGCGUCCACUGAUUGGCUAAGUAUGCAAAGUGCUUCUGUCCCUGCAGUGUGCUGUGCUCCAUAAACACUCAUUUACAGAACCAGUCUGCAUUUUUGUAUAGUGUGCUUCUGUGUAUUUUAAUAGUCUAAUACAAAUUUAUGUCAAGGAUUAUAAUAAAAGCUUCCACAGUAGAAUGAUAUGGCAGAGUGUUUCUUAUGAGCUGAUGAUUGCGGUAAAAAUAAUAGGAAAGAUUACACAAAAUCAGCGGAAAGGAAUUGCAAAACACAUUCCCCAGAACUGUCUUUUGCAAAGUAACAGCUAACUAGCCUAAUUUCUCCUUAAUAAUUUGUGGAAAAAAAAUAAUCACAGCAACUUAAAUCUCAGACAGAAUCUAUUUGUUUGGAGAACGCCAGAGGAAAAGACAGACACAUUAACCCUGAAUUAUCCUUGCAUGAUCAAUAUGUCACAGCUUUGGCCUCGGCUUUAAUGACUAUACUGUGCUAGUAUAUUAGUUUGAUGCAUUAUAAAUCCAAUAACUUUGCUUGCCAGUGUGUGUUUGCCCCAGCAUAACAAAACAGCGACAUAAUAGAGAUCAGAAUACUUAGUCUUAAUUUUCCACCUCCCUGUAAAAAAAAAAAGAAAAGUCAGAAAAAUGCAUUCUUAAUAUUCCUCUUUACACAGUUUGAAUGUGUGCAUGCCUUUUUUCCCGUCUGUCCUCUGCUGCUGUCUGUAAUUAAAUGGGGUGAAACGGCCUUGUGUUUCACUUUUAUGUUUUUCAAUUUUGUCAGCAAGUUUCCCCACAAUGCACCCAUCUGAAUUUCAAAUGAUAAAUGAAAAUUCUGCUCUUAGUGAAGUAAUUCCAUUAAAGGUCCACAUUAUGGAAAUAAAGACAAAAACCUACAGUAUGUAAUUCAAUUUUCUGUGUUUGGUUUCUCAUAGGGACCACAGUGGAUGAGACCAUCUAUCGAAUUUACUAAUAUUUAAGUGCCUUGUCUUCCCUGAAAACCACAUUACUCUGUGCAUAAAUGAAGCAUUUGCAUUGAGCUAUUCCUCUAAAAUGUAUUUUCUUUUAACUUUACUUAGCCUGCAUGAAUUAGAUAUUUUGAAUUUAUUUCCUCAAUAACCAAAUCACUGUCUCUUCUAGACCACAUCUUCUUUCUAUUCAAAGUUUAAAAGCUUAUCGGAUUUAAUGAAGUCAACUUUUGUGAGUUGCAACCUAACAAUCUUUACAUAACUCAGGAGAUUGAUUACACACAUAAUGAAUGUUUGAAUAAUGUGCAAGACAUGACAGAGGGCACAACCAGGAGUUAUUUUCAUGCUCCUGGCAUGUGUUUGGCUGCAGAGGUGGCAGCCUUAACAGGAAUAUGGAUCCUGGCCUGGGGAGAUGUCUCAGCCUUGCUGUGGGAUCAUUAUUCCAAUGGACAAAGCCUCAGUUAUAAAUAGGUUCAUGGAGUUCUUGGGCGGCACACUCUUUGUUUCCAGACUGGCCCUAUUUGUCUUAUUGAUCUGAAUAUGUGUGGCCACACAGUUGCUGUUUGGAGGAAUAGGUGAAAGGGUGUUGAGGUGUUGUUUUUUCUACUUUUUUCUACUUCUGAAGUCAUUUUUUUGUUGUAAUUCUUUGGUAUGUUCUUAUAUAGGUAAUACUUGACUAAUGCAACUAAAACUAAUCAGUAAACCAGUAUAAACCUUCACUUCAUUUUAAUGCAAUUUUAUUUAUAUAACAGCAAAUUACAGUUGUCUCAAGAUGCUUUAUAUUGUAAGGCAAAGA
Molecule: long non-coding RNA, 1920 nt
Organism: Oreochromis niloticus (Nile tilapia)
Lineage: Eukaryota; Metazoa; Chordata; Actinopteri; Cichliformes; Cichlidae
Exons: 2
Source: RefSeq, a predicted model, not a curated record